RNAcentral lists this ribosomal RNA (460 nucleotides) under uncultured bacterium. RNAcentral describes it as "partial 16S ribosomal RNA". It matches the Rfam family "Bacterial small subunit ribosomal RNA", at positions 338 to 795 of the family's 1533-position model. The record is from RNAcentral.
CCUACGGGGGGCAGCAGUGAGGAAUAUUGGUCAAUGGACGAGAGUCUGAACCAGCCAAGUAGCGUGAAGGAUGACUGCCCUAUGGGUUGUAAACUUCUUUUAUAUGGGAAUAAAAUGUUCCACGUGUGGGAUUUUGUAUGUACCAUAUGAAUAAGGAUCGGCUAACUCCGUGCCAGCAGCCGCGGUAAUACGGAGGAUCCGAGCGUUAUCCGGAUUUAUUGGGGUUAAAGGGAGCGUAGGUGGAUUGUUAAGUCAGUUGUGAAAGUUUGCGGCUCAACCGUAAAAUUGCAGUUGAAACUGGCAGUCUUGAGUACAGUAGAGGUGGGCGGAAUUCGUGGUGGAGCGGUGAAAUGCUUAGAUAUCACGAAGAACUCCGAUUGCGAAGGCAGUUCACUGGACUGCAACUGACACUGAGGCUCGAAAGUGUGGGUAUCAAACAGGAUUAGAUACCCUAGUAGUC